This 73-nucleotide transfer RNA is filed under the name Stegodyphus mimosarum. It matches the Rfam family "tRNA". Rfam says of the family: Transfer RNA (tRNA) molecules are approximately 80 nucleotides in length. Their secondary structure includes four short double-helical elements and three loops (D, anti-codon, and T loops). Further hydrogen bonds mediate the characteristic L-shaped molecular structure. tRNAs have two regions of fundamental functional importance: the anti-codon, which is responsible for specific mRNA codon recognition, and the 3' end, to which the tRNAs corresponding amino acid is attached (by aminoacyl-tRNA synthetases). tRNAs cope with the degeneracy of the genetic code in two manners: having more than one tRNA (with a specific anti-codon) for a particular amino acid; and 'wobble' base-pairing, i.e. permitting non-standard base-pairing at the 3rd anti-codon position. Lineage: Eukaryota; Metazoa; Arthropoda; Arachnida; Araneae; Eresidae. The record is from Rfam by way of RNAcentral.
GCCUUCGUGGCGUAGUGGUCAUCACGCUCGACGCGUAACCGAGAGGUCCGUGGUUCAAUUCCCGGUGAAGACG